This 508-nucleotide ribosomal RNA is filed under the name uncultured bacterium. RNAcentral describes it as "partial 16S ribosomal RNA". It matches the Rfam family "Bacterial small subunit ribosomal RNA", at positions 28 to 523 of the family's 1533-position model. The record is from RNAcentral.
GAUGAACGCUAGCUACAGGCUUAACACAUGCAAGUCGAGGGGAAACGAUAGAGAAAGCUUGCUUUUUCUAGGCGUCGACCGGCGCACGGGUGAGUAACGCGUAUCCAACCUGCCCACCACUUGGGGAUAACCUUGCGAAAGUAAGACUAAUACCCAAUGAUAUCUCAAGAAGACAUCUGAAUGAGAUUACAGAUUUAUCGGUGAUGGAUGGGGAUGCGUCGGAUUAGCUUGUUGGCGGGGUAACGGCCCACCAAGGCGACGAUCAGUAGGGGUUCUGAGAGGAAGGUCCCCCACAUUGGAACUGAGACACGGUCCAAACUCCUACGGGAGGCAGCAGUGAGGAAUAUUGGUCAAUGGGCGAGAGCCUGAACCAGCCAAGUAGCGUGCAGGAUGACGGCCCUAUGGGUUGUAAACUGCUUUUAUAAGGGAAUAAAGUGAGCCUCGUGAGGCUUUUUGCAUGUACCUUAUGAAUAAGGACCGGCUAAUUCCGUGCCAGCAGCCGCCGUAA